AGGACGAACGCUGGCGGCGUGCUUAACACAUGCAAGUCGAACGGUGACCUCGGAGCUUGCUCCGGGCGAUCAGUGGCGAACGGGUGAGUAACACGUGAGCAACCUGCCCCUGGCUCUGGGAUAACCCCGGGAAACCGGAGCUAAUACCGGAUACGAGACCGAUUGGCAUCUUUACGGUCUGGAAAGUUUUUCGGCCAGGGAUGGGCUCGCGGCCUAUCAGCUUGUUGGUGGUAACGGCCCACCAAGGCGACGACGGGUAGCCGGCCUGAGAGGGCGACGGCCACGACUGGGACUGAGACACGGCCCAGACUCCUACGGGAGCAGCAGUGGGAAUAUUGCGCAAUGGGCGAAAGCCUGACGCAGCGACGCCGCGUGAGGAUGAAGCCUUCGGUGUAACCGUCUUUCAGCAGGAAGAGCGAAAGUGACGUACCUACGAGAAGAAGACGACCGGACUAACGUACGU
This 463-nucleotide ribosomal RNA is filed under the name uncultured soil bacterium. RNAcentral's name for it is "bacterial SSU rRNA". It matches the Rfam family "Bacterial small subunit ribosomal RNA", at positions 26 to 506 of the family's 1533-position model. The record is from RNAcentral.